ACGGAAGGCAGCAGUGGGGGAUAUUGGACAAUGGGGGCAACCCUGAUCCAGCGACGCCGCGUGAGUGAAGAAGUAUUUCGGUAUGUAAGGCUCUAUCAGCAGGGAAGAAAAAUAACCAAAUUGACUGUACCUGACUAAGAAGCCCCGGCUAACUACGUGCCAGCAGCCGCGGUAAUACGUAGGGGGCAAGCAUUAUCCGGAUUUACUGGGUGUAAAGGGAGCAUAGGCGGCGAAGCAAGUCAGAUGUGAAAGCCCGGGGCUCAACCCCGGUACUGCAUUUGAAACUGUUUUGCUAGAGUAUCGGAGAGGUAAGUGGAAUUCCUAGUGUAGCGGUGAAAUGCUUAGAUAUUAGGAAGAACACCAGUGGCGAAGGCGGCUUACUGGACGAUAACUGACGCUGAGGCUCGAAAGCGUGGGGAGCAAACAGGAUUAGAUACCCUGGUA
RNAcentral lists this ribosomal RNA (444 nucleotides) under uncultured Lachnospiraceae bacterium. RNAcentral describes it as "partial 16S ribosomal RNA". It matches the Rfam family "Bacterial small subunit ribosomal RNA", at positions 341 to 792 of the family's 1533-position model. The record is from RNAcentral. Lineage: Bacteria; Bacillati; Bacillota; Clostridia; Lachnospirales; Lachnospiraceae.